Molecule: ribosomal RNA, 396 nt
Filed under: uncultured bacterium
Lineage: Bacteria
Description: partial 16S ribosomal RNA
Rfam family: Bacterial small subunit ribosomal RNA
Source: RNAcentral
AUACGGAGGGUGCAAGCGUUAAUCGGAAUUACUGGGCGUAAAGCGCACGCAGGCGGUCAAUUAAGUCAGAUGUGAAAGCCCCGAGCUUAACUUGGGAAUUGCAUCUGAAACUGGUUGGCUAGAGUCUUGUAGAGGGGGGUAGAAUUCCACGUGUAGCGGUGAAAUGCGUAGAGAUGUGGAGGAAUACCGGUGGCGAAGGCGGCCCCCGGGACAAAGACUGACGGUCAGGGGCGAAAGCGUGGGGAGCAAACAGGAUUAGAUCCCCUGGUAGUCCACGCUGUAAACGAUGUCGAUUUAGAGGUUGGGGUCUGGAACCGUGGCUUCUGGAGCUAACGCGUUAAAUCGACCGCCUGGGGAGUACGGCCGCAAGGUUAAAACUCAAAUGAAUUGACGGGG